RNAcentral lists this ribosomal RNA (444 nucleotides) under uncultured bacterium. RNAcentral describes it as "bacterial SSU rRNA". It matches the Rfam family "Bacterial small subunit ribosomal RNA", at positions 470 to 916 of the family's 1533-position model. The record is from RNAcentral.
UGAAGGUACCUGGCGAAUAAGCCACGGCUAACUACGUGCCAGCAGCCGCGGUAAUACGUAGGUGGCAAGCGUUGUCCGGAUUUAUUGGGUUUAAAGGGUGCGUAGGCGGUCUUAUAAGUCAGUGCUGAAAUAUCCCGGCUUAACCGGGAGGGUGGCAUUGAUACUGUAGGACUUGAGUAAAGUUGAGGUUGGCGGAAUUGACGGUGUAGCGGUGAAAUGCUUAGAUAUCGUCAAGAACACCUAUAGCGAAGGCAGCUAACUAAGCUUUAACUGACGCUGAGGCACGAAAGUGUGGGGAUCAAACAGGAUUAGAUACCCUGGUAGUCCACACUGUAAACGUUGAUUACUCGCUGUUGGCGAUACACAGCCAGCGGCUUAGCGCAAGCGAUAAGUAAUCCACCUGGGGAGUACGCCGGCAACGGUGAAACUCAAAGGAAUUGACGG